CGGCCGCGUCGACGUGGUGUAGCGGUGAAAUGCUUAGAUAUCACGAAGAACUCCGAUUGCGAAGGCAGUCUGCUGGGUUACAACUGACGCUGAGGCUCGAAAGUGCGGGUAUCAAACAGGAUUAGAUACCCUGGUAGUCCGCACAGUAAACGAUGAAUGCUCGUCCUUGGCGAUAUACGGUCAGGGACCAAGCGAAAGCAUUAAGCAUUCCACCUGGGGAGUACGCCGGCAACGGUGAAACUCAAAGGAAUUGACGG
RNAcentral lists this ribosomal RNA (257 nucleotides) under uncultured bacterium. RNAcentral's name for it is "partial 16S ribosomal RNA". It matches the Rfam family "Bacterial small subunit ribosomal RNA", at positions 658 to 916 of the family's 1533-position model. The record is from RNAcentral.